Long non-coding RNA from Oncorhynchus keta (chum salmon), 270 nucleotides. RefSeq lists it as uncharacterized. The transcript has 3 exons. NCBI's taxonomy places the organism in Eukaryota, Metazoa, Chordata, Actinopteri, Salmoniformes, Salmonidae. The record is from RefSeq and is a predicted model, not a curated record.
UCUGCUAGAGUCGUGAGGAGCACAUUCGGGUGUAUAUAACUAGACUCUGCUAGAGUCGUGAGGAGCACAUUAGGGUGUAUAUAACUAGACUCUGCUAGAGUCGUGAGGAGCACAUUAGGGUGUAUAUAACUAGACUCUGCUAGAGUCGUGAGGAGCACAUUAGGGUGUAUAUAACUAGACUCUGCUAGAGUGGUGAGGAGCACAUUAGGGUGUAUAUAACUAGACUCUGCUAGAGUCGUGAGGAGCACAUUAGGGUGUAUAUAACUAGAC